Molecule: ribosomal RNA, 503 nt
Filed under: uncultured cyanobacterium
Lineage: Bacteria; Bacillati; Cyanobacteriota
Description: bacterial SSU rRNA
Rfam family: Bacterial small subunit ribosomal RNA
Source: RNAcentral
UGGCGGACGGGUGAGUAACGCGUGAGAAUCUACCUUCAGGACGGAGACAACAGUUGGAAACGACUGCUAACCCCCGAUGUACCGAAAGGGCAAAUAUUUAUAGCCGGAAGAAGAGCUCGCGUCCGAUUAGCUAGUUGGAGAGGUAAAAGCUCACCAAGGCGACGAUGGGUAGCUGGUCUGAGAGGACGAUCAGCCACACUGGGACCGAGACACGGCCCAGACUCCUACGGGAGGCAGCAGUGGGGAAUUUUCCGCAAUGGGCGAAAGCCUGACGGAGCAAUGCCGCGUGGAGGAUGACAGCCUGUGGGUCGUAAACUCCUUUUCUCAGAGAAGAAGUUCUGACGGUAUCUGAGGAAUAAGCAUCGGCUAACUCCGUGCCAGCAGCCGCGGUAAGACGGAGGAUGCAAGUGUUAUCCGGAAUCACUGGGCGUAAAGCGUCUGUAGGUGGUUUAAAAAGUCCACUGUUAAAAAUUGAAGCUUAACUUCAAAGAUGCUGUGGAAAC